GACGAACGCUGGCGGCGUGCUUAACACAUGCAAGUCGAACGGAAAGGCCCUGCUUGCAGGGUACUCGAGUGGCGAACGGGUGAGUAACACGUGGGUGAUCUGCCCUGCACUUCGGGAUAAGCCUGGGAAACUGGGUCUAAUACCGGAGAGGAGCCAUUUUUAGUGUGAUGGUUGGAAAGUUUUUUCGGUGUAGGAUGAGCUCGCGGCCUAUCAGCUUGUUGGUGGGGUAAUGGCCUACCAAGGCGGCGACGGGUAGCCGGCCUGAGAGGGUGGACGGCCACAUUGGGACUGAGAUACGGCCCAGACUCCUACGGGAGGCAGCGGUGGGGAAUAUUGCACAAUGGGCGCAAGCCUGAUGCAGCGACGCCGCGUGGGGGAUGACGGCCUUCGGGUUGUAAACUCCUUUCGCUAGGGACGAAGCUUUUUGUGACGGUACCUAGAUAAGAAGCACCGGCUAACUACGUG
This 465-nucleotide ribosomal RNA is filed under the name uncultured bacterium. RNAcentral's name for it is "partial 16S ribosomal RNA". It matches the Rfam family "Bacterial small subunit ribosomal RNA", at positions 28 to 507 of the family's 1533-position model. The record is from RNAcentral.